RNAcentral lists this unclassified non-coding RNA (582 nucleotides) under Hevea brasiliensis (rubber tree). The record is from RNAcentral. Lineage: Eukaryota; Viridiplantae; Streptophyta; Magnoliopsida; Malpighiales; Euphorbiaceae.
AUGAACAGCUUGAGGUAUAAAUUUAUUCCUUAAAAAAGGAGUUCUGUUAAGAUUUGAGAGGUGUUUUUGACUUUGCAUCUUGAGUCUAUGUGGCGAAUUUGUGCAUUAUAAUGCCUCGUAACAAAAAAAAUGGUUUGGUGCAUUGAAGCAUAGGGUUAAUCACAACUGUGUUUCUAAACUUAUAACUGUAUUUCAGUUUAGUCACUUAAUUUCAAUUUCACAAAAAAAUUCUGCAACUAUAAUUUGUGUUUCAAUUAAAUCAUUAUGGCCAUAUUUAAGCAGAUAUUUGGUCAGAUUCUUGACAUAGUAAUCAACUAAAAAAAAUUCUCAUGGGCCACCUUUGAUUGGAAAGUUAAAUUAAUAUAAUAUUACUUAACUAUUACAUCAAAACUCCAAACUUAUUGAAAUUCUGUUAUGGUUGACCUUGUUAAAAUACAAACGUUAGUUGAGCAAUUUUUAUGUGACAAAUUGAAAUCUAGUGGUUGUGUUGGCAUUUAGUGAUAAUUUCAAUGACAAAUGGAUGAAAUUAAGUUAUGGUGUUUAUGAUACUGGCAUCCAUGUAUAAAUGGAUAUGGUCCUUAG